RNAcentral lists this ribosomal RNA (517 nucleotides) under uncultured marine eukaryote. Its description in RNAcentral is "SSU rRNA". It matches the Rfam family "Eukaryotic small subunit ribosomal RNA", at positions 613 to 1131 of the family's 1831-position model. The record is from RNAcentral.
UUGUGGUUAAAAAGCUCGUAGUUGGAUCUCGGCGGACUGAGGGCGGAUUGCUUGCUAGUAUUACUGCCCUAUAGUCCGUAGUUUUGCCAGAGGUUUCGGGGUGCUCUUAAUCGAGUGUCCCGGGAUGCUGGCAGGUUUACUUUGAAAAAAUUAGAGUGCUCAAAGCAGGCUAUUACGCCUGAAUAUUCGUGCAUGGAAUAAUAGAAUAGGAAGUCGUUUCUAUUUUGUUGGUUUUCGGAAAUCGACUUAAUGAUUAAUAGGGACAGUCGGGGGCAUUUGUAUUCAAACGACAGAGGUGAAAUUCUUGGACCGUUUGAAGACAAACUACUGCGAAAGCAUUUGCCAAGAAUGUUUUCAUUAAUCAAGAACGAAAGUUAGAGGUUCGAAGGCGAUUAGAUACCGCCCUAGUUCUAACCAUAAACGAUGCCAGCUAGCGAUCUGAGGACGUUUUUUUUGUAGACUCCUCAGGAAGCUUCCGGGAAACCAAAGCGUGUGGGUUCCGGGGGAAGUAUGGUUG